RNAcentral lists this ribosomal RNA (378 nucleotides) under Triticum aestivum (bread wheat). Its description in RNAcentral is "partial small subunit ribosomal RNA". The record is from RNAcentral. Lineage: Eukaryota; Viridiplantae; Streptophyta; Magnoliopsida; Poales; Poaceae.
AUGCCAUUAGGAUAUAAGAAGUGUUGUGUAAUGCCACACAGAGCAUGUUCAAAAAAUAUCGCCCGUUGCAACGCAGGGGCAUUUGUACUAGUACUAUUUAUGUAUGCACACGUCCGGAACACGAUGGCGUUGGAUACGGUACGGACUGCAGGAGGUACCUCGACUCGAACCCCGACUCGGAGUCAAAACCGAUCUCUAGUCCAACUAAAAAAAGAACUGAUCAUUAUUUUUGAGCAUUGUGCGCGUGAAUUGAAUCGCAUGGCUCAUGAGCUGGCUAGAGGGGCUAGGAUUGAUCCUCCAGUUGUGUGGAUAGACAAUUCUCCUACUUUUAUCUGUAGCCUUAUUUUGAAUGCUUUGUCAUUAUUUGAGAAGAAAUAA